RNAcentral lists this ribosomal RNA (207 nucleotides) under uncultured bacterium. RNAcentral describes it as "partial 16S ribosomal RNA". It matches the Rfam family "Bacterial small subunit ribosomal RNA", at positions 568 to 774 of the family's 1533-position model. The record is from RNAcentral.
CACGCAGGCGGUCGGACGCGUUUCGGGUGACAGCGGGUGGCUUAACCACGCGAGUGUUCGAAAGACGGUCUGACUUGAGGGCUCGAGAGGGACACGGAAUUCCGGGUGGAGUGGUGAAAUGCGUAGAGAUCCGGAGGAACACCGAAGGCGAAGGCAGUGUCCUGGCGAGUGACUGACGCUGAGGUGCGAAAGCCAGGGGAGCGAACG